AUUGAACGCUGGCGGCAGGCCUAACACAUGCAAGUCGAGCGGCUGCAGGGUACUUGCUCCUGGUUUCGGCGGGGGAGGGGUGGGUGGUGCCUAGGUACCUCCCUAGUUGCUUUUGCUUACGUCCGGACACGGGCGCUCUUACCGCAUACGUCCUGAGGGCGAACGUGGGGGAUCUUCGGACCUCACGCCCUCAGAUGAUCCUAGGUCGGAUUAGCUAGUUGGUGGGGUAAAGGCCUACCAAGGCGACGAUCCGUAACUGGUCUGAGAGGAUGAUCAGUCACACUGGAACUGAGACACGGUCCAGACUCCUACGGGAGGCAGCAGUGGGGAAUAUUGGACAAUGGGCGAAAGCCUGAUCCAGCCAUGCCGCGUGUGUGAAGAAGGUCUUCGGAUUGUAAAGCACUUUUAGUGGGGAGGAAGAGCAGUAAGUUAAUACCUCGCUGUUCUGACGGUACCAACAGAAUAAGCACCGGCUAACUUCGUG
RNAcentral lists this ribosomal RNA (484 nucleotides) under uncultured bacterium. RNAcentral's name for it is "partial 16S ribosomal RNA". It matches the Rfam family "Bacterial small subunit ribosomal RNA", at positions 30 to 507 of the family's 1533-position model. The record is from RNAcentral.